GGCCGUGUAGAUCAGUGGAUAGAUCGUCUGCCUCCGGUUGUAUUUGGGUUAGCAGAAGGUCGUAGGUUCAAACCCUACCACGGUCG
Transfer RNA from Rhizophagus irregularis DAOM 197198w, 86 nucleotides. It matches the Rfam family "tRNA". Rfam says of the family: Transfer RNA (tRNA) molecules are approximately 80 nucleotides in length. Their secondary structure includes four short double-helical elements and three loops (D, anti-codon, and T loops). Further hydrogen bonds mediate the characteristic L-shaped molecular structure. tRNAs have two regions of fundamental functional importance: the anti-codon, which is responsible for specific mRNA codon recognition, and the 3' end, to which the tRNAs corresponding amino acid is attached (by aminoacyl-tRNA synthetases). tRNAs cope with the degeneracy of the genetic code in two manners: having more than one tRNA (with a specific anti-codon) for a particular amino acid; and 'wobble' base-pairing, i.e. permitting non-standard base-pairing at the 3rd anti-codon position. NCBI's taxonomy places the organism in Eukaryota, Fungi, Glomeromycota, Glomeromycetes, Glomerales, Glomeraceae. The record is from Rfam.